This 779-nucleotide ribosomal RNA is filed under the name uncultured archaeon. Its description in RNAcentral is "bacterial SSU rRNA". It matches the Rfam family "Archaeal small subunit ribosomal RNA", at positions 114 to 879 of the family's 1478-position model. The record is from RNAcentral.
CAAUAUGGGAGAACUCCCCGGGAACUGGGGCCAAUUUUCGAUAGGUGAAGAACCCUGGAAUGGGUCUUCGCCCAAAAGGCGCUUGGAGCAUGCUUCUAGGCGUUGCCCAAGGAUGGGGCCGCGGCCGAUCAGGUUGUUGGUGAGGUAAUGGCUCACCAAGCCUUUAACCGGUACGGGCCGUGGGAGCGGUAGCCCGGAGAUGGGCACUGAGACAAGGGCCCAGGCCCUACGGGGCGCAGCAGUCGCGAAAACUUCGCAAUAGGCGAAAGCUUGACGAGGCCAUCCCGAGUGCCAUCUGCUGAGGAUGGCUUUUACCUAGUGUAGAUAGCUGGGGGAAUAAGGAGAGGGCAAGUCUGGUGUCAGCCGCCGCGGUAAUACCAGCUCUCCGAGUUGUGGGGAUGUUUAUUGGGCCUAAAGCAUCCGUAGCCGGCUGGGCAAGUCCUCUGUUAAACCCAGCGAUCAAUCGUUGGCUUGCGGGGGAUACUGUCCGGCUAGGGGGCGGGAGAGGCCGUCGGUAUUCUCGGGGUAGGGGUGAAAUCCUAUAAUCCCGGGAGGACCACCAGUGGCGAAGGCUGUCGGCUAGAACGCGCCCGACGGUGAGGGAUGAAAGCUGGGGGAGCGAACCGGAUUAGAUACCCGGGUAGUCCCAGCUGUAAACGAUGCAGGCUAGGUGUUAGGGCGGCUACGUGCCGCUCUAGUGCCGCAGGGAAGCUGUUAAGCCUGCCGCCUGGGGAGUACGGCCGCAAGGCUGAAACUUAAAGGAAUUGGCGGGGGAGCAC